This 440-nucleotide unclassified non-coding RNA is filed under the name Hevea brasiliensis (rubber tree). The record is from RNAcentral. Lineage: Eukaryota; Viridiplantae; Streptophyta; Magnoliopsida; Malpighiales; Euphorbiaceae.
UUCUGGAGGUUCGCAUGCCUCGACGAGGGAGAUUAACCUGACGGAGAGGCUGACUGAUAUUCUUGUUGAUGAAGGAGAUGGCGAUCUGUUGCUUCAGCAGAGCGAUCGGGAAGAUAGGGUUAUACGGUGGCUUCAAGCGCUAGAUAUGCAAGUCAUGGGCGCUUGUCGGGCUGACGAAAGGUUGAAGCCGUUGUUGAAGAUGACUACGUCUAGCGGCAUAGCGGAAGAUCGUCUUCUUGCUCAAUUGAGUCAGCAUUUCGAGCCGGUUGAAGUUGGCAUUCUAGCGAGGUGUUUCUGUAUACCUCUCGUCUCUAUUCGUGUUGGAAAAAUUGACAAGCAAGGAAGCCUCCUUUGUCCUACGGCCACUAAGGGAAACUUAAAUCUAAUGGUUGUACCAUCAUCUGACUUUCGACUCUCAUUCAUUGGGGAUAAUGGCCAGG